AGGACGAACGCUGGCGGCGUGCUUAACACAUGCAAGUCGAACGGAAAGGCCCUUCGGGGUACUCGAGUGGCGAACGGGUGAGUAACACGUGGGUGAUCUGCCCCGCACUUUGGGAUAAGCCUGGGAAACUGGGUCUAAUACCGAAUAGGACCAUGGGAUGCAUGUCCUGUGGUGGAAAGCUUUUGCGGUGUGGGAUGGGCCCGCGGCCUAUCAGCUUGUUGGUGGGGUUAAGGCCUACCAAGGCGACGACGGGUAGCCGGCCUGAGAGGGUGUCCGGCCACACUGGGACUGAGAUACGGCCCAGACUCCUACGGGAGGCAGCAGUGGGGAAUAUUGCACAAUGGGCGCAAGCCUGAUGCAGCGACGCCGCGUGGGGAUGACGGCCUUCGGUUGUAACCUCUUCAGUAGGGACGAAGCGCAAGUGACGGUACCUACAGAAGAAGCGACCGGCCAACUACGCGCCAGCAGCCGC
Molecule: ribosomal RNA, 472 nt
Filed under: uncultured bacterium
Lineage: Bacteria
Description: SSU rRNA
Rfam family: Bacterial small subunit ribosomal RNA
Source: RNAcentral